RNAcentral lists this ribosomal RNA (477 nucleotides) under uncultured bacterium. Its description in RNAcentral is "bacterial SSU rRNA". It matches the Rfam family "Bacterial small subunit ribosomal RNA", at positions 26 to 518 of the family's 1533-position model. The record is from RNAcentral.
AGGACGAACGCUGGCGGCGUGCCUAACACAUGCAAGUCGAACGGAGUUGAGGAGCUUGCUCCUUAACUUAGUGGCGGACGGGUGAGUAACGCGUGAGUAACCUGCCUCUGAGAGGGGAAUAACGUUCUGAAAAGAACGCUAAUACCGCAUAACACAUAUUUGCCGCAUGACAGAUAUGUCAAAGAUUUUAUCGCUCAGAGAUGGACUCGCGUCCGAUUAGUUAGUUGGUGAGGUAACGGCUCACCAAGACCGCGAUCGGUAGCCGGACUGAGAGGUUGAACGGCCACAUUGGGACUGAGACACGGCCCAGACUCCUACGGGAGGCAGCAGUGGGGGAUAUUGCGCAAUGGGGGCAACCCUGACGCAGCAACGCCGCGUGAAGGAUGAAGGUUUUCGGAUUGUAAACUUCUUUUCUCAGGGACGAAUUCUGACGGUACCUGAGGAAUAAGCUCCGGCUAACUACGUGCCAGCCGCGGC